This is a long non-coding RNA of Ictalurus punctatus (channel catfish), 1164 nucleotides long. The record is from Ensembl. NCBI's taxonomy places the organism in Eukaryota, Metazoa, Chordata, Actinopteri, Siluriformes, Ictaluridae.
UUAUAGUGUAGUAUACCACAGCAUGGUAUAGUAUAGUACAGUACAUUAUAGUGUAGUACUGUACAGUACAGCAUGCUAUAAUAUAGUACAGUAUAGUAGAGUACUGUAUAAUAAAGUAUAGGACAGCAUAGUAUAGGACAACAUAUAGCAUAGUAUAUUAUGGUUAGAUAAAGUAGCUAUAGUGUAGCAUGGUACAGUUCAGUAUAGUGUAGUAUAGUAUAGUACAUAAAAUAUACACAGUAUAUCAUAAUACAGUUUAGUAUAGUAUACUAUAGUAAAUAUAAUGGCCAUAUAGUACAGUAUAGAAGAGUACAGCAUGGUAUAGUAUGGUACAGUACAUUAUAGUAUAGUAUAGUAUAGUAUAAUACAGCAUUCUCAGAUCUUCACCAAAAUCACACCGUGCCUUAAAGCACUCAAGACUAACACAGUAGUGCAGUUAGUUUCAUCCCAACACACUCCAAAGUCUAGAUAUAGUGCAGUGUAUUGUAGUAUGUAUAGUAGUACAGUAGUAAUUAUAGUGUAGUAUAUUACAAUACAGUAUAGUAGUGUAGUAAUGUAGUGUAGUAUUGUAUUGCAUAGUACAGUACAGUACCAGAAGUGUAGUAUGGUGUCGUAUACAGUAGUAUGGUUGUUAGUAUUAGUCACACUGUGUGUGUGCAUGUGUGUGUUUCCGUGUCCACAUCCUGCCGUGUUAACGUCUGGGGUCUUCCGCAUUACUCCGCAUCGUCUACGGGUGUGCUACAUCAUUUGUGAUUUGUCAGGUGUCCACAUACUUUUGGCAAUAAAGUGGAUUUAGUAAUAUUGUUAUAUUAGUGAAAUGAAGAAUAUAUACGCUUCUUUCAUCACUGCUUCCAAAACAUCUGGGACCAGGUCCAGUGGAACACAAUUACAUCUAAACUAAAUUACAUCCACCUGCCAGGGAUAUUCAUUCAUUGUCAUGUGAUGACAUAGGCAACACCGAGGUGAAAGAGUCCAAUCUGGCAACACGCACAUCCAGCUAAGAUCAAUUCACUUUAGUGAGGUCAAAAACAUUUGGACAUUUUAUUUUUAUUAUUACAUUCCCCAUCCAUUAAACUGAAAUUGUGUCACGCACAGAUUUCAAAACAUUGUUUAAUUCUGACAAAAACUAGGUAAAUAACGUGAGGUGUUAGUCUAAGAAAAAAU